This is a long non-coding RNA of Paramacrobiotus metropolitanus, 496 nucleotides long. RefSeq lists it as uncharacterized. The record is from RefSeq and is a predicted model, not a curated record. Lineage: Eukaryota; Metazoa; Tardigrada; Eutardigrada; Parachela; Macrobiotidae. The transcript has 6 exons.
CUUGGGCCCGGAUUACCGUUUGGCACCCGCACAGCAUUCCCCAUUAUAAUCCGACCAUGAUGCUGCACCGAAUGAGAACGCCGGGAAUCUUUCAAGAGCGACUAACCGAGCGAAAGGAUUUGUUUGUCUUAUGGAAAAACCGCCUGCAACUGAUUAAAAUGAUUUGUCUCGGUCCGGAGUUUCAGAAGCGUUUGGGACGACAUGGGUGAAGCAAUAUUGCGAGUACGACAAAGAUUCGAGGAAGUUGCUGUUGGUGCCGUAUUCCCAUUCACACACCCAUGGCAAAGCGACGAGUCCACAACAAAUCUUGACGCUCAAGUCGUACCAAAGACGUCCCGGUGAUUCGAUUGAGAAACGUUUCUGCUUUGGUCUCGUCACUGAUGAACGGUUUAUCAGAAGCCCGGAAAACACUUCCACAAGCCGGAAUGUGAGUUGUGAAACGUGCUUUUUUUGACUUAAACAGAAAACCUAAAUUGGAUUUUAAAGAAGUUGACAC